This 11239-nucleotide long non-coding RNA is filed under the name Capsella rubella. Its description in RNAcentral is "long non-coding RNA (CRUB_LNC005199)". Lineage: Eukaryota; Viridiplantae; Streptophyta; Magnoliopsida; Brassicales; Brassicaceae. The record is from RNAcentral.
UCGGAUUCAACUGAUUUUGUUUAUUUAUAGAAACUUAAAAUAUCAAAACAAAAGAAUCAAAUCAACUUUGAUUCGUAUAUUCCACAGAUUUCGCUUUUUAUAAAAAUCCUAUAUUCAUCUUUCAAAUACGAUCUUAACAACCAAACCUACUCUAUGCUCUACUAUAUAUAUGACGCUUUGAAAAGAAAACCAAAUCACUCUCACAAUCAAAAAUACCACGACUCAUUGAAAUGGCAGCGUCAUUUGCUUUCCUCAAGGAUGUUAGGCCAUACAAAACGGCGUGGCGAGUUCAGGUUAAGAUGCUACAUUCAUGGCGUCACUACACCCAAAAAACAGGGGAAACAUUAGAGAUGGUACUCUCUGAUGAAUUGGUAAGGAAGUUACUAAUUUCUAAUAAAUCAUGCUUCCAUGUUGCAUCGGUCGUCUCUGUCAUUUUAAUAAUACUUACUGCAUUUAUAGGGUAAGAAGAUACACGCUAGCGUGAGGAAGGAUUUGGUGAACCUUUAUGUGAACAGGCUGCACAUUGAUGACUGGGUUUUCAUUGAAAACUUCGGUCUUAACUAUGCCACCGGCCAAUACAGACCAACCAGCCAUCUCUAUAAGAUGGCUUUCAUCCCUGGGACUGUAGUCAUGCAUUGUGACCCCAAAUCAGAUUCUUCCUUUCUGUCGUUGGCAAAGUAUCAGAAGAUACAAAGUGGAGAACUGAAUCCACAUAUGUUGGUUGGUAAGUUUCUAUUUAUAUGUCACUACUUUUAUAUAGUCUCUUAGUUAAACAUUAACAAACGAUGUUUAACCCACAAGUUUACCUCUUCCAUGAUGCAGAUGUAAUUGGCCAGAUAAUAACUAUUGGAGAACUUGAGAACCUCGAGGCUAACAACAAACCAACCUGCAAAAUCGAUUUCGAAAUAAGAGACGAAAAGUGAGCAUUAUUUAUAUAUUUACAUACUCUUUAUAUUCUAACAAUAUAUUAUUAUGCUCCGACUUUGUAUCUUCAAAGUUUGCAUUAUUAUUGAUGAUAACAGUGAUGAAAGGAUGGCGUGUACUUUGUGGGGAACCUUAGCUGAGCAGGUACAUAGAGCUUGCGAAAAUUCAGAUGGAAGCAAUGUCAUAGUCAUCCUCAGAUUUAUGAAAAUUAAAGCUUACAAGGGUAACUUGAUGUUUAACCUAAAUACUACUCACAAGAUCGGCUACUCUUUAUGCUAUAACGUUUACAUAACCAAUUAAUAUUGUAGGUGUUAGGAGUGUAACAAAUUCCUAUGAUACUUCACAAGUGUUUGUCAACUCCCCCUUCCCUGAAGUCGACUCAUUCAGAGAAUCGUAUACUUUCUAAACUUAUCUACUAUAUUUAUCAUCCCCUUAUAACUCUGCAAUUUACAAUGUUUAACCGCAAAAAAUUAACCAUACUAACUUAACAUCAAUUAGGCUGCCUACAGAUGGUUUGGUAUUGGUCCCCCGAGAAAGGCGUCCAAGAAUGGAGUUGGUUGUGGUAAACAAUGAGGAUUACCAAGAUGUCCCCAGGAGAACUAUUGAGGAAAUCAAGAAUUCCCUAGAGGUAAAAUAAUAUUAACUUUAACUCUUUCUGUAAUAGUUCGUAUAUAUUUGAUAACUUCAUUAAUUCACAGGUUGGCAGGGCUAGACUACUCUGUACAAUCUAUGGAAUUGAUACAGACUGGGCUUGGUACUACAUAAGUUGUAGGUCAUGCAAUAAGAAAGUUAACCACAUCCAUUCUGGUGUACAUGGAGUUAAUAACAAAGGCGUCAAACCAAGAUUCUGGUGUGAUACCUGCAAGAGUGUUGUUACAAAUGUCGUAGCACGGUAUAUUUGUCUAUAUGUCUACUAUUAUUAACAUAUCAUACUAGAUUUUUAGGGACAUGUUUAUUCCAGAACAAAAUUUUAAUUCAAUAAUCUACAUGUUUAUGUGCUAGGUUUAUGCUUUAUGCUAAUGUCAUGGACACCACUGGGGAGCUGAAAUUGUUAUUGUUUGACUCUAUUUGCACGGAGAUAAUAGGGCAGUCUGCUCCAUCUGUUCUUGACGGCUCUGUUGAUGAGGUUAACUACUACCAGCUAUAUUACGCUAAAAGUCAUAGAUACGUGGUAUUAUCUCUAAUGUGUUACAAAUCAAUUCUGAUAUUUUUAAUGUUCAGAUUGAGGAUCCAGACAAUUUGCCAGAUCCCCUUAAAAAUCUUAUUGGGAAAACUUUUCUGUUUCUGGUGUGUAUCGAGAGGGCAAAUAUAUGGGAUGGGAAAGAUAUCUACAGGGUUUCUAAGGCUCUGUUGAAGCAUGGUGUACUACCAGAAGAGUUAUUGGAGUAUUCUACAGAAAUGUCCAGAGAAACUUCCAUUGAAUCUGCAGACAAGGUUAUAUUCAUAUAACUAUUCACUACAACAACUAUAUCUUCAAUGUUAAUUUAUUAAAAUAACCAAUGUUUAGUUAUACAUUCUAUUUAUACUAAUUAUGAAAUUCGUAGGGCAUUCUCAUGUUGGAAAAUACUCAAGGAACACCAGAUUCUAUGACUCCUUCUUCUAAGCGUGUUUAUGGUUCUAAGGACGGACCUGUGGACCAAGCAUCUACUUCUAAGAAGUCGUGUAUUGAACCAAUAGACUUGGAAAAGGUAAAUCCUGAUUUUAAAAAUGAAGCAGAACUGAACAAGAGCAGUGUUGAAUCAAAGACUGAAGGUGUGAUUGAGACAAAAGCGGACCUUGGUAAAAAUGUGGGCGAAACAAUCGGAACCACUAUUGACAAAGCAGACAAUGCUGGACCAAGAGCUAUGGUUGGAGUGAAGGUCAAGAUUGAGAAGAAGUAAGGGUCCUGCAGUCACUAUUGUAUGCUUCAAAUAAAGCCUUCCUUGGUUAUUUCAAUCUGUUUUUUAAACUUUCAAACUCAUUUUCAUUUCCUUUGUUUGAAUAAGUGUAGUUUAGCUACACUCCUAUUUUAUGUUCAAGUUUAUUAAUAAAGUUUCCAUAUUCUUAUUUUCUGUUGACUUCAAUAAUAUAUUACUAGAGAUGUAUUAAGCUUCUAAGCACUUCUUAUAUUUUGAAAGUGGUUAACGUGUCUAAAUGUAUAAUCACCCAAAAAAAGAUAUUUAAACAUUAAAGGAAACCAUGAUUUUUACCUUUUUACUCGAUGUCUAUAGCCUAUAUCUUCAUUGUAAUCCUUCUUCUUCGAAUCUGAAAUUUAAAGAGAAAAAUACUAAAUUACAUAUGCAACAUUAAUUUAAAUCAGCUCACUCUAGGUACGUGUUUUCUGCUUCUUUCCUCAUAUUUUAAAAAAUGCAGAACUUAUGGAUUUCAUGAUUUUAAAAGGCACAAAGUAGUAAGCAUGUAAUUUGACAAACAGAUUCCAUAUUAACUUUGCCAAACAGACAAUACCUUCAAACACUAGCAUCGUAUGCUGCUAGACACAACCACCACAUAACAACAUUCCUGCAUACUAAUUGAAAGCAAAAUCCCGUAAGCAUUUAUAUAAGAUAUAUUAUUUUGAUUUGUAUUGCCUGAGAAUCCCUUAAAACCAGCACUUUGUUAUAUAAUUAUAUGGAUAUUUUAAAGAAAACAAAGAAGAAUAUUGUCUCUGCUAUCUAAAAUCAAGGAGAAAUUAACUACUGCAAAUCUAUAGUCAUUACGACCUGCUACUAAAAUAACAUGUUCUAGAGAGCAACUUUCUGACCACCUCAACGAUGAAGGAAAAUAAGAAAAACAAUAAACCAAGUGAUGAGUCUCAGCACAAAUCUGCUAAAAGAACGAGACUUACACAACCUCCAACUAAUCAUACUCAACCAACAACAUCUACAUUGGCUACACCUACUGGUUCUGUCACACUUAAAAAUGCUUUGAAUAGAGUUCUUUGCGAUAUUACCAACCUAAGUGGGAGCAACAAUCGGCUGGAUGUCACACAAUCCUCUAUUCACCAUCCAUCUCCUGCAACACACAUCACACUAGGUUAUUGUUUUUUACAAUUUCACCUGACUUUUUCCUGUUCUCAUGUUAGUAUUGAUUAGUAUAUGAAACGCUUAUUUCAAACUGAAAACAAUCUUUUACUUCCCAGUUUCAGGCUCAAACUUAUCCACGUCUUCAUUCGACAAUCAUGGUAGCUUAAAUACCAACAAUUUUGUCACUCCUGUGCUUCAAAACAUAACCAAUAUAGAACACCAAGCUACUCCCGUUGAUACCAUAGCUACACUGUCUGCCAAAUACAACACACCUGUAUUGAAUGAAAGUGAGGGUGAGUUUUACUAAUUUGAGAAGUGGUAUUAAAACAAACUUCAUGCCCGCUCAAUAUAUAACAUACAGACAUGGUCAUUCAAUCUGCAGCAAAUCGGAGAGGCUUGGGGAGAUCGUGUCUUACCAAUGUCAAUACACGGGUAAACCUUAGCAAAGCUAACAAGUUGCCUAGGAAAAAUCUGUCUGAAGCUUUUGAAACUGCAUCUGUCUCUACUGAUUGCCAAGGUAAGAUUUUACUUGAUUCAUGCACUUCAAUUUUAAUACUAAUUAAGUACAAAUGUCUUAACAAUCAUGCUAAUUUUGUAAAACGUAUUGAAUAAAUAGGUCCAGGAUUAAGAGAUGACCUCAAUGACAGUAGCACAUAAUCUGAGGAAAGUUACAAAGAUAUUGACAACAAUAUAUUCAAUGAAAGUGAAUCAGAGGUCGAACAAGAUUACUAUCUUAGUCAAUCAGAAUAUGAAACUGAAGAUGACACGGCUGAAGUUAACAUUUCAGUUCAACCUGAAAUUGCAAUCAGAGGUUCUGAUACUGUCCAAGAGAAGGUUAUAACACAAGAAUGUAUUACAGCACAAGACCAUGUCAGAUUCAUGGCCUUACUUGGUAAAAUAGCGGACAAAACGACACACAAAGCUGCCAGCAAUGAAACUGCUCCACUUAAAAAAAAAAGAGGCAGACCAAGACUCAAUAAAAAUGCAACCACGGCUGCAAGCAACUCAAACCAAAAAGGUUUACAAAUUUUUAUCAUUAUGACAUACACGUGCUGGGUUAUACUAUAUAUAACCCAUCUAGAUAAAUUAGAUACUAAUUUUAACUUGAUUCCACAGCUUAUCUUGAUCAUGGAGAUGCUACAUACAAAUGUAAACAUUGUGGUGCUUUGAUGUGGUAUGAUGAGCGUAUUCGCAAGAGACGCAACCAGGAGGAGCCAACGUUCACACUAUGUUGUGGACAAGGACAAGUUAAAUUGCCCUUUCUUAAAGAGUCUCCAGAGUUAAUAAAGAAGCUUCUAAGUGGUGAUGAUGCUCUCAGCAAACAUUUUAGAGAUAAUUUGCGAAUCUUUAAUAUGAUUUUUGCAAUGACAUCACUAGGGGGGAAAGUUGACAAAUCUGUAGCAAAAGGCAAAGGACCUACAGCAUUUCGCUUGCAAGGAGGAAACUAUCACUUGAUUGGUAGUUUAAAGCCUGAAGCGGGAGAUUAUGCUAAAUAUUCUCAAUUCUAUAUUGUGGAUACUCAGAACGAAGUCGAUAAUCGAGCUACGGUCAUCAGGUAAUAAAGCUACUAUACCAUUUCGAUAUUUAACUCAAUAACAGAUUCUCAUGUAAUCUCACUAACUAAUCUGAUAAUUGUAUAAACUUUGUGUAGCAAGGGUAAAAAUGUUGCACCAACUUCAGCCAGAAAACAGCUAAAAAAGGAAGUCAUUGAAGCACUGAUAGAAAUGCUUAACGACCAUAAUCCUUAUGUCCAGACGUUCAGGUCCGCGAGAGAGAGGUUUGAAUCUAACAAUGAUGAACCUUUCCACAUGCGUAUUGUCGCAGAUCGCAAGGGUGUAGAUGGAAGGACAUAUAGUAUACCUACUUCAUCAGAAGUAGCUGCUUUAAUUCCAGGAGAUUUCAUCAAACAAAUGCCUGACCGUGACAUAGUUAUCCAAGAAAAGAGUACUGGUCAUUUACAGAGGAUAAGCCAAAUUCAUAUAUCUUACUUAGCACUACAAUAUCCUCUAAUUUUCUGCUAUGGUGAAGAUGGCUAUAGACCUGGGAUAGAAAAAUGCAAUAUUCCAGCAAAAACAAGGAAGAAUAAGAAGAAAUGCAUCAGCAUGAGACAAUGGUUUGCAUUCCGGUUACAAGAGAGGGAAAACGAGUGUCAUACACUUUUGCGUUCAAAGAGGUUGUUUCAGCAGUUUUUGUGUGAUGCUUACACCACAAUAGAAUCAAACCGGCUAUCGUACAUCAAAUUUAACCAGUCAAAGCUUCGGUGUGAGAAUUUUGACUCCAUCAAAAAAGCAGCUGAAUCAGGAACAACCUCAUUGGGUGAAGAAGGUAACCAAUUACUGAUUCCUACUUCUUUCACGGGUGGUCCUCGGUAUAUGGUUCAAAUUUACUAUGACGCAAUGGCAAUCUGUAAGCAUUACGGAUUCCCAGACCUAUUUAUCACAUUCACAUGUAACCCUAAAUGGCCAGAGAUAACGAGAUAUUGCCAAACCCGAGGGUUAACAGCUGAGGACAGACCAGAUAUUGUUGCUAGGAUAUUCAAGAUAAAGUUGGACUCUCUAAUGAGAGACCUGACAGAAAGGAAAAUGCUUGGGAAGGCAGUAGCAUGUACGUGAUCUCUUUUAUUUAAAUGUAAGCGUCUAAUAUUUCAACUAAUAAGACUAAUUUUCGGGUGGUUUUUCCAUAAAUGUUUUGCAGCUAUGUAUACCGUUGAAUUUCAGAAAAGAGGGUUACCACAUGCUCACAUUUUGCUCUUUAUGGAUGCUAAGAGUAAGCUCCCAACAGCAGACGACAUCGACAAGAUGAUUUCUGCUGAGAUUCCAGAUAAAGAAAAGGAACCAGAACUAUAUGAAGUUAUCAAAAACUCUAUGAUACACGGUCCAUGUGGUGCAGCAAAUCCUAAUUCUCCGUGUAUGGUUGAUGGAUCAUGCUCGAAGCAUUAUCCUAAAAAAUUCCAAGAGAUCACUAAGGUUGGAAGUGACGGUUACCCUAUCUAUAGAAGAAGGGAAACAGCUGAUUAUGUUGAGAAGGGUGGCUUUAAAUGUGACAACAGGUAUGUGGUUCCAUACAAUAAGAAGCUUUCACUCCGAUAUCAGGCUCAUAUCAACGUUGAAUGGUGCAAUCAGAAUGGGAGUAUAAAAUACUUAUUUAAGUAUAUAAACAAAGGACCAGAUCGUGUCACAUUUAUAGUUGAACCCGCUAAUCAGGCCACAAGUGAUUCAAGUGCAACUACAGGGCAGGAAUCAAGUCCAACUGAGAAAAAAAAGAACGAAAUUAAAGACUGGUUCGAUUGCAGGUAAUAAUCUUAAACUAUAGUCAUCAAAUCUUUUUGAUUGUGUGCGGAGUCUAAUGUGAAUAACUGGAAUUUGUUUGGCAAAUUUUUAGAUAUGUAUCAGCAUCAGAGGCAAUUUGGAGGAUUUUUAAGUUUCCUUUGCAACAUAGAUCUACACCAGUUCAGAGAUUAUCUUUUCAUCUCGAAGGGAAGCAACCUGCGUAUUUUGAUUCAGAAGCACAUAUUGACGAUGUCCUCGACCGUAUUGCCAACCAAGAUUCUAUGUUUAUGGCUUGGCNNNNNNNNNNNNNNNNNNNNNNNNNNNNNNNNNNNNNNNNNNNNNNNNNNNNNNNNNNNNNNNNNNNNNNNNNNNNNNNNNNNNNNNNNNNNNNNNNNNNNNNNNNNNNNNNNNNNNNNNNNNNNNNNNNNNNNNNNNNNNNNNNNNNNNNNNNNNNNNNNNNNNNNNNNNNNNNNNNNNNNNNNNNNNNNNNNNNNNNNNNNNNNNNNNNNNNNNNNNNNNNNNNNNNNNNNNNNNNNNNNNNNNNNNNNNNNNNNNNNNNNNNNNNNNNNNNNNNNNNNNNNNNNNNNNNNNNNNNNNNNNNNNNNNNNNNNNNNNNNNNNNNNNNNNNNNNNNNNNNNNNNNNNNNNNNNNNNNNNNNNNNNNNNNNNNNNNNNNNNNNNNNNNNNNNNNNNNNNNNNNNNNNNNNNNNNNNNNNNNNNNNNNNNNNNNNNNNNNNNNNNNNNNNNNNNNNNNNNNNNNNNNNNNNNNNNNNNNNNNNNNNNNNNNNNNNNNNNNNNNNUGUCUAUUUAGUUUAAAUCGAGAUUUAGCUUGGCAAUUAACUAUUUAAUAUCAUUAAUGGCGUUGUAAAUGUAAUAUGCAGAUCUUACACUAACAGAGGCUGAGAUGAAGAAUUACACUCUUCAGGAAAUAGAAAAAAUUAUGUUGUUUAAUGGUGGAACUCUCCAGGGCAUUGAUAAUUUCCCACAGCCAUCAAGAGAAGGUAUUGACAAUUCCAAUAGAUUAAUUGUUGACGAGAUGAGAUAUAAUAGGGACGAGUUGGAAGAGAAACAUACUGAAUGGGUUGCAAAGCUUACUACUGAGCAGAGAGGUAUAUACGAGGAAAUCACAAGUGCUGUUUUCAAGGAUUUAGGUGGUGUUUUCUUUGUUUAUGGAUUUGGAGGAACAAGGAAAACAUUUUUAUGGAAAACUCUUGCAGCUGCUAUUAGAUCUAGAGGACAGAUAGUUUUAAAUGUCGCGUCCAGUGGUAUAGCAUCAUUGUUGUUAGAAGGAGGAAGGACCGCACACUCUCGGUUUUCAAUUCCAUUGAAUCCUGACGAAUUUGCUCUAUGCAAAAUCAAACCUAAGUCAGAUUUAGCAAAUCUGAUAAGAGAAGCCUCUCUGAUUGUCUGGGACGAAGCCCCAAUGAUGAGCAAGUUUUGUUUCGAAGCUUUAGAUAAGAGCUUCUCAGACAUUAUCAGAAACACAAACAACAAGGUGUUUGGUGGUAAGGUUGUGGUGUUUGGUGGUGAUUUCAGGCAGGUUCUACCAGUUAUAAUUGGCGCAGGAAGGGCAGAGAUUUUCAUGUCAGCACUAAAUGCCUCUUACCUUUGGGAUCAUUGUAAAGUGCUAAGAUUAACGAAAAAUAUGCGCCUCCUAUCUGGCAACUUAAGUGAAGAUGAAGCUACACAUAUCCAACAGUUUUCAGAUUGGUUAUUAGCAGUUGGUGAUGGUAGGAUUAAUGAGCCAAAUGAUGGUGAGGCACUUAUCGAUAUCCCAGAAGAUUUGUUGAUAACAAAUGCAGAUAAUCCUAUUGAAGCUAUUACUAGAGAAGUUUAUGGAGAUCCUACUAAGCUGCACGAAAUAAACGAAUCAAAGUUUUUCCAACAAAGAGCUAUUUUAGCACCAAAGAAUGAGGAUGUGAACACAAUUAACCACUACAUGCUGGAGCAUUUGAACAGUAAGUCUACUAUUACAAUUUGCUUACAGUUUUACUUACGUAUAUUACAAGAGUUCGAUUUGACCCUACUUUACUAAAAAACUUUAUAUUUUUUUGGUUGAAGGUGAAGAAAGGGUAUAUCUAAGUGCAGAUAGCAUAGAUCCAACAGAUUCAGACGCAUUAAAGAAUCCCGUCAUCACUCCAGAUUUUUUAAAUUCUAUCAAGCUAUCCGGAAUGCCACACCAUGCCUUGCGUUUGAAAAUUGGAGCACCAGUUAUGUUGCUAAGGAACAUUGACCCUAAAGGUGGGCUAUGCAACGGGACAAGGCUACAAAUUACUCAGCUGGCUAAUCAUGUUGUGCAAGCUAGAGUGAUAACAGGCGACAGAAGUGGUGAGAUUGUUUUAAUCCCCAACAUCAACCUAACACCUUCUGAUACAAAGCUGCCAUUCAAAAUGCGUAGAAGACAGUUUCCCCUAUCGGUUGCAUUUGCUAUGACCAUCAACAAGAGUCAGGGACAAUCUCUAGAACGCGUAGGUCUCUACUUGCCUAAACCUGUUUUCUCUCAUGGCCAGCUUUAUGUUGCAUUGUCUAGGGUUACAUCGAAGAAAGGCUUAAAAAUAAUCAUUCUAGACAAAGAGGGAAAGAUUCAAAAGCAAACAACAAAUGUUGUUUUCAAAGAAGUCUUUGAAAACAUUAACUGACUAACAUCGAGUCAGACCGUUUGGGAGCAACAAGGUUUAACGUUAUAUUUCUUAUACUUUGUAUUUUAAGUUAAUUAUAUCUUGCAUAGCUAAAUACAGAUACAUUUUUACACACGGAUUGAAACCAGCUCUUUCAAAUUCUUUUCCAGGUUCAGGUUAAAUAUCAACAGAGGACACAUUUGAAGCUAACCGAUGAACAAGAAAGUUCAAUUCUGAUUCAACAGUUUCAUUACUUCCACUUCAUAUUCUCAAUAAAUUAGAAUUAGUAUAGUGUCAUUUUAGUAUUACAUGAACACUUAAACCGAUUUUCAUUUUGGUUAAACAACUCAACUGAGAUUCAUCUUUCCUUCCUACUAUUAUCAAGUAUUGACGAAAACAACCAAAUAAACACAAACACCAAACAAACUAAUCAAACGAAACUAAGCUAUGAGUUUUAAAAAAUCUAACCUCAGCUGGACAAUGUCUGACGUUCCAUGUAUAGGUGCCAUUAAACUAUACAGGUUCCAUAUAGAGAUGUCAGCAAUAUGUUUCUCUGCAGCUACAAUGCAAGAUUAAUCCAAGACUCUCAGAACUUUCACAUUUCCACAUAUAAACUAAAGAGAAAACAAAAGUUUACAACCAGAUAUUUAUAUAUACUGAAUUACAUAAUAUUGUUGACCUUAUAAUUCUGCAUAUGAUCAGAUAUAUUCUACAAAUUCGACUCUCGCAAACACAAGUGAGUACCAAACUGUAAACUGAAAAGUAUUAAAUCAAAACAACAGAUUCAAUAAUCAGUUUCAAGUUUAUGAAGUGAUACACAACAGUGAGCCAAAUAUAUUAACAAUCUACAAUUACAUGAGGCCUCAAAUCAUACGUAUGUUAAUAUUUGUUUUCAUAACCCAUUUUUCCCAAACUAUUCAAUGAACUAACUUCAGUUACAUUGGUAAAAACUUUUCCGAAUAUCUAUAUUAACAUAAUUGGUAAAACAGAAACUAUUACGGAUCCAAAUAAAAGAAAAUACUUAUCUCUCAUAAAUUCCAAUGCAAUUAGUUCCACCUGCAAUUUCUGCAGAUAAAAAAAAUCAGUUUGUACGAUUAUAUCAUCGAUGCCUUUAAAACAAUAAUUUGAAAACAUAAUCAAGCUAUAUGAAUAACCCAAAUACGGAAGCAAUAUGAAUCGGCAAAGACAACAAAUUACAAUAAUUUGACAACAAUUUUCAGUUACAUUUCCAGAAAAAAAAGACAUAAAACUAAGUAUAUUAACCUUACUCAGAAACAAUAGAAACAGAUACGGAGCCUGCAAUUCAUGUUGAUUCCAUGUAAGGAUUCAAGAAAAUAAGCUAUAACUGAUUCGAAUUCUUAGAUGUGAUUUAGGAGAUAGAAGGCAACAACGAUUUUUUGUCUUUUCGUAAGUUUUUUCGCUUUUGG